RNAcentral lists this ribosomal RNA (216 nucleotides) under Glomeromycotina sp. RNAcentral describes it as "partial small subunit ribosomal RNA". The stretch from base 40 to 216 matches the Rfam family "Eukaryotic small subunit ribosomal RNA", at positions 686 to 864 of the family's 1831-position model. Lineage: Eukaryota; Fungi; Glomeromycota. The record is from RNAcentral.
GGGUCAGUAGGUUGGUCGUGCCACCGGUACGUACUGGUCUCACUGAUUCCUCCUUCCUGAAGAACCGUAAUGCCAUUAAUUUGGUGUUGCGGGGAAACAGGACUGUUACUUUGAAAAAAUUAGAGUGCUUAAAGCAAGCUAACGCUUGAAUACAUUAGCAUGGAAUAAUGAAAUAGGGCGAUCGAUCCUGUUUUGUUGGUUUCUAGGAUUGACGUA